Molecule: ribosomal RNA, 1440 nt
Filed under: metagenome
Description: bacterial LSU rRNA
Rfam family: Bacterial large subunit ribosomal RNA
Source: RNAcentral
CUAUUGGUUGUGCUGGGGAAAGGUUGUAGGCAUGUGUCUUAGGCAAAUCCGGGACACUCUAUGCUGAGAAUACGAACCUGUACUUGUACGGGGAAGUGAUAGAUGCCAUGCUUCCAAGAAAAGCUCCUAAGCUUCAGUCAGUAAGGGAUCGUACCCGAAACCGACACAGGUGGUCAGGUCGAGAAGACCAAGGCGCUUGAGAGAACUCUGGUGAAGGAACUAGGCAAAAUAGUACCGUAACUUCGGGAGAAGGUACGCUGUUGAGGGUUAAGGAUUUACUCCGUAAGCCUUCGGCAGCCUCAGAAACUAGGCCGCUGCAACUGUUUAUUAAAAACAUAGCACUCUGCAAACACGAAAGUGGACGUAUAGGGUGUGAUGCCUGCCCGGUGCUGGAAGGUUAAUUGAUGGGGUUAGCUAACGCGAAGCUCUUGAUCGAAGCCCCAGUAAACGGCGGCCGUAACUAUAACGGUCCUAAGGUAGCGAAAUUCCUUGUCGGGUAAGUUCCGACCUGCACGAAUGGCAUAAUGAUGGCGGCGCUGUCUCCACCAGAGACUCAGUGAAAUCGAAAUCGCGGUGAAGAUGCCGUGUACCCGCGGCUAGACGGAAAGACCCCGUGAACCUUUACUGCAGCUUUGCACUGAACUUUGAUCUUACCUGUGUAGGAUAGGUGGGAGGCUUUGAAGCUCGGACGCUAGUUCGAGUGGAGCCAUCCUUGAAAUACCACCCUGGUAAUAUUGAGGUUCUAACCCAGGUCCGUUAUCCGGAUCGGGGACAGUGUUGUGGGUAGUUUGACUGGGGCGGUCUCCUCCUAAAGAGUAACGGAGGAGUACGAAGGUGCGCUCAGCGUGGUCGGAAAUCACGCGUAGAGUAUAAAGGCAAAAGCGCGCUUAACUGCGAGACCGACAAGUCGAGCAGGUACGAAAGUAGGUCUUAGUGAUCCGGUGGUUCUGUAUGGAAGGGCCAUCGCUCAACGGAUAAAAGGUACUCUGGGGAUAACAGGCUGAUACCGCCCAAGAGUUCAUAUCGACGGCGGUGUUUGGCACCUCGAUGUCGGCUCAUCUCAUCCUGGGGCUGAAGCAGGUCCCAAGGGUAUGGCGUUCGCCAUUUAAAGAGGUACGCGAGCUGGGUUUAGAACGUCGUGAGACAGUUCGGUCCCUAUCUACCGUGGGCGUUGGAGACUUGAGAGGAUCUGCUUCUAGUACGAGAGGACCGAAGUGGACGAACCUCUGGUGUUCCGGUUGUCACGCCAGUGGCACUGCCGGGUAGCUAUGUUCGGAAGGGAUAACCGCUGAAAGCAUCUAAGCGGGAAGCCUACCUCAAGAUAAGGUCUCCCUGAGGGUUUAACCCUCCUAAAGAGCCGUUAGAGACCAUGACGUUGAUAGGUUCGGUGUGGAAGUGCAGCGAUGCAUGAAGCUAACGAAUACUAAUUGCUCGUGAGGC